RNAcentral lists this ribosomal RNA (502 nucleotides) under uncultured Glomeromycotina. RNAcentral's name for it is "partial small subunit ribosomal RNA". It matches the Rfam family "Eukaryotic small subunit ribosomal RNA", at positions 591 to 1092 of the family's 1831-position model. The record is from RNAcentral. Lineage: Eukaryota; Fungi; Glomeromycota.
CCAAUAGCGUAUAUUAAAGUUGUUGCAGUUAAAAAGCUCGUAGUUGAAUUUCGGAAUCUGUCCGUUGGUCGGGCUUAACUGUCCGUACUGAUGUGAUGGGUUCUUACCUUCUGAAUAACCAUCAUGCCAUUAAUUUGGUGUGUUGGGGAAGCAGGACUAUUACCUUGAAAAAAUUAGAGUGCUCAAAGCAGGCUAGCGCCUGAAUACAUUAGCAUGGAAUAAUAAAAUAGGACGGCAUGGUUCUAUUUUGUUGGUUCCUAGGAUCACCGUAAUGAUUAAUAGGGAUAGUUGGGGGCAUUAGUAUUCAAUUGUCAGAGGUGAAAUUCUUGGAUUUAUUGAAGACUAACUUCUGCGAAAGCAUUUGCCAAGGAUGUUUUCAUUAAUCAAGAACGACAGUUAGGGGAUCGAAGACGAUCAGAUACCGUCGUAGUCUUAACCAUAAACUAUGCCGACUAGGGAUCGGACGAUGUUAAUUUUAUAAUGACUCGUUCGGCGCCUUACG